UACAGAGGGGGCAAGCGUUAUUCGGAAUUAUUGGGCGUAAAGGGCGCGUAGGCGGCUUGGCAAGUGGAUGGUGAAAUCCCUCGGCUUAACCGAGGAACUGCCGUCCAAACUGCUUCGCUUGAGACCGGGAGAGGUGAGUGGAAUUCCCAGUGUAGCGGUGAAAUGCGUAGAUAUUGGGAGGAACACCAGUGGCGAAGGCGGCUCACUGGACCGGUACUGACGCUGAUGCGCGAAAGCAUGGGGAGACGAACAGGA
This 255-nucleotide ribosomal RNA is filed under the name uncultured bacterium. RNAcentral's name for it is "partial 16S ribosomal RNA". It matches the Rfam family "Bacterial small subunit ribosomal RNA", at positions 524 to 777 of the family's 1533-position model. The record is from RNAcentral.